Molecule: long non-coding RNA, 4743 nt
Organism: Vicia villosa (hairy vetch)
Lineage: Eukaryota; Viridiplantae; Streptophyta; Magnoliopsida; Fabales; Fabaceae
Exons: 3
Source: RefSeq, a predicted model, not a curated record
GAUAGGAAGAUUUCAAUCAAAGAAUAUCCUUAUUCCAAUCAAAGGCUCAAUCAUCUAAAUCAUUGGAUUUUGAUCAAGAUUUUCAACCUAAUUCAUGCUCUAUAUAUACUUAAAGUAAUUUAGACAAAAUUCAAGGAUUCGCUGCAAAAGAAACCCCACUCCAAGCUUCAAAAAAUCGUGAAAACAGGGCUACCGAGCAGACAAAGUUUCAGACCAAUUCAGGCAGCUCCAAGCAUCAAACGAGAUUCCUCUUUGCAUUCUGAAUCGAUCCCAAUCACUCUCUGGCAGUGAAGCACCCCGAAUCGCACUCACAUAUUCAUCGUUUUGGUCAGUUUUGUUUUAACUUUGAUUAUAGCCUUGAAUGCAUUAUGAAUGUCGUUUGGUUGUGUAUUAUUAAUAUUCGAGAUGCAUAAAACAUAUCUGGAUAAUUUGAUUUUGUUUUGAUGCAAGAAUCACUAUACACCAUGAUUAGGGUUUUGUGCUUCUUAAAUUGGGAAUUAUGGAUAAGGUCAGUUUCAGGCCGAAUUAAGAGUGUCAAUGGGGUCGGGAGUUCGGGUAGGUUUGAUCUGGGCUGUCGUUUGGCAUUUUUUGGUGUUAAAUUACAGGUUUGAGCAAGGUAGGGCUAUAGCCACGGAUGGUGACUGUAGGUAAAAGGUUGGUUCUGUUUCCAACAAAAUUGAAGGACGAAGAAGAUGAUAUUUUGCAGAUGGCGCGCGCAUGGUUCUUUUUGAAAUUUUAAGUCACGAUUUUUUUAUAUAAUAAAGUUUGUGGCUAUUAAACUAACAUGAAGUCGCUGCAGCGCGUGUGGUUAUGCGCUUUUGUUAGUGAAUGAGAUAACCUGGGUUUGAUCCCCAGGUUUUGUAUUGUUGUUUCCAAAAUAUUUCUUUGCAGAUUGCAUGUGUCUCCCGCGCGAAGGAACACACUGUACCUCACAUCCAGGCCAUAGGAUCUCCCUCAGCAAAGAUCCAACGCAUAUGAAAAUGAGGGUUAGCAACAGGCUUUCUUCCGACUACGCGCCACGCCCAUUACGAAGCUAAGUCCCGAUUUAACCCUUAUUUAAAUAUUUGUUAUUUUAUUUAAAAUUAGGGUUUACCUUCAAAUAUAAUGAACUCCGCCUACACUCACGUCUUUUUCUGUCUGCCUUUAUUUUUACCCAUUUUUCAGGGUUAAACACGAGGCUACCCCGAGACUGCCAACCAUAUCAGAUCAAAUCAAAAGCUAAGUCUUUUCUAUGUUUUUGUUUUCUUUUUGCCUUUUUUAUUUAAUUAGGGUUAGCCUUGAUUGUCAGUGAAUUGAUAAUGCACUCACCCCUUCGCGUUUAUUUUUCCUUUUCCAAUUUUCAGGGUCAGUCAGCCAGUCAGAGCUCGAGUGUUCGGUAACCCUGAAAUUCACCUUUUUUAUUUUCUUAUUAUUAUUAUUACUUAUGCCAAACCCUAUUGCGCUAUGAAUUCGCUGGUUUCUUUUUCCCCUUCCCCAUAUUGCUAUUGUUACUGUUUAUAUUAAUUGAUGUGGUUAGUAACCCUAGGGAGUGAAAACCAUUUAAUUGAAUUAGAAUCACCUAAUUACAAGAUAAAUAUCUGAAUCGAUCACGUGAUUGUUGCACCCACGCACACUUUUUGGGUAACCUCUUUGCUGCCUGUUGCCUUGUUGCCUUGUGUAUUUUUUGCAGAAUAGCCAUGUCCCUCGAAUAUGAGGAUACCCCAGCCAUGUUGCCUCGAUAAAUACAAAAGUCAUAAGACCCUAAUGAUGCUGCCUUCGAUACACCAAUAUGACCUCGACCCUCGGAAGUUGCCUACGAAAAGGCUGAGGUAUCCUCUGGCUGCCUAUGAAAGGUUAUUCUGGUCCUUCCCUUAGACUACCUGUCUCUCUAUGACAUGGGACAGUCUUAUGGUGAACGACAUUGCGACGAUCCUUCAACCUCCAAAUGAAAGGCUUCCUGCCCUCUUAUGGCAUGGAUAGACCCUUUCACCUUGAAAGGCUAAAAGAACAUUUUUCAUCUAACCAGGUAAUUGCCCCUAGUUGCUUUGCCUUGCUCUAAAAAUCUUUUCAUAAUCUUUCCCAUAAAACUUCAAAAUGCUACGCUUAUUUACAAACUAAAGUCUUAUUUCUUUUCUACACUUUCUUCCUUCAAAAGAGCAAAGAAAUUAAGAGCCCAUGGAAAACCAUGGAUGCAAAGGGUGCCUUACACCUUCCCUUUGCAUAAAUUACCCCCCGAACUCAGUUUUUAUUUAAAAGGUUUUUCCUGUUCUUUUACCCUUUCUGAUAUAUUUGGAUAAAAUAAAAGUCGGUGGCGACUCUUGCUAUCCGCGACAUUUUCGAUUAUAAAAGUCAGUUCACCGUAUUACACUUUCCAUCAUGUAUUUUAUCUUUCAUUUAAAGGUAUUGGGAUUUAAGGUUUAGGGGCGAAUACAUUAUACACAUAUAGCAAAUAUCAAAUAAUUAUAACAACAACAAUGUCCAAUCUCGAAAUGCUCGAAUUAAUGAGCGUACCGUUUAAUUCCAAGAGCUAUUAGGUCACUACAAUGAAUCUUCUAUCAUAUAAAAAAAGUCUCCCUUUUCCUCAAUCAUCAAGCAUUCCACAUCAGCAAAUGCUCUCUCAAUUUUCCACAUCAGCAUCCUUAAAAUUAACUUCUUCUUCCACUAUUAUUCGGCAGUUACAUCCUUCUGUUCUUCAAUUUCCACUAUCCUUAUAACUGCCCUUAAAUCCAUCCUCUUCCAAAUUCCAAAACCGUUCCAAAAAAUGUUAUUGCAGCCCCAUUAUUCUUCUUCUUUCACGAUUCAUUCAUGUUUUUCCGCCUCCAUUCAUGUUCUUUGGCGUGUCCGCGAUUCCGAUUGGCUUCUGCUUUCAUUUUUGUAUGUUAUUAUUUUUCUGUGUUGUGCAAUGAACACGGUUUGAUGAUGUUUCUGAGAAGUUUCAUUCGCGUUUGCACAUGUGGUGUUCGAUUUUGAAUGUUUGAUGAUGAAUGUAUAGUUGAAACAACUUUGAAUCGGCAAAGCUGGGUGAGAUCUUUCUGAGUUUAUGCUAUUUUCUCUUUAAUCUCUCUUCUUCUCUCUCAAACUUUCUGCUUUAUAUUCUCCAUUUAAAUCUGAUUUAGGUGUAUUAAUGUUGCUUAAUUUAGUUUUAUUUUUCGAAUAAAUUAGUAGGCCACCAUGUUUGUUAUAAUGAUUGAAGAUUGGUGGAGAAUGGAAGAGAAUUGAUUCAAGAUUGAAGGUGUUAUGAGGUUAGUUUUCUAUUAUGGAAGUUUGUUACCGAUAUUCUUAUGGAUCAUCGCAGUUGGAAUGGAAAACUAUUCAUAUUUUUAAUGUUAGGUCCAAUGAGGUAGCUAACUUACAAAUUAAGGAGAUCCAAAUUUUAGUUACAUAAUUUCAUUAAUAAUAUUUAUCUGAGAUUAUGCGGAUUGAUCGGUUCUUUGUAGUAUUUUGAUUUUGUUUAUGCUUUGAAUUUCAUGUCGUGGUAUGUUUCAAUUUGGUUUUCUCCGAUUAAGCUAAUGGUUCAUACGUGCACCUAUUUACAAUUCGCUUUUAUGUUGUAUAAAUCUUAGAUUUCAACAAUAUAGACCACUAAUAAGAUUUUCAUAACUCUCUCAUUUCUUUCUGAUUUCUUCGUCUUCUCUCUCUUUCAAGUUUGAUUUUGAUUUAAUUUUCAACGUUUCAGUUUUCAUGGUGUUAGCUCACGUGGAAGGGGAAAGAUCCAUCGCCGAUGCAGUUUUUGAUGAUGCAUUGGUGUUUGUUAUUACUUUGAAUGAUUUGUUAAAUUCUGUUUGGAUAAGCUGUGACCUGAUUUUGAUGUAGGUUUAUGCAGGAUUUCAAUUGAAAUGCCGAAUUGAUUGUUUUAUCGAAUGAAUAAUUCUGUUAUAGCUGACUCAAGGAAGAGAUUCAAGUUGCGAAUGAUAUCGCCUAUGAUGUGGUACAAAAAGAAAUUCAAGGUGACAUUUUUUUACUCGCUUGCAUCGCUUGAGGACAAGCAAUGAGAUAAGUUUGGGGUUGUGAUCGGUCACCAUUUUACACUCAAUUUCAUCAUCAAUUCGACACACGAUCGUCAUGUUUGUAACACUUUGUGUUUGUAUUCAAUUGUUUUCUUUAAUUUUCUAGUUGUAGUUUAUUUGUUUGCAAUUUGUUUUUGUGCCAUUUUCAUUGUCAAUUAGGUGCUUUUGAUCUCGUUUGGUAAUGGUUUCAGGUUAGCUUCAGAUUGAUGGAAGUUCGCAUGUCCAAAAGGUGCGCAAAAAGGAAGCAAGAAGCAAAAAUGAGCAAGGAGGCAGUGGCGGACACGGUCGGACCAUGUCGCCUGACACGGUCGGGUCAGGCCUUCUGAAGAAUCCUCCUUCCCAAGACCAGAAGCUGACACGGUCUGCCCGUGUCAUGUGACACGGUCGUGUCAGCGUUGCGAACUGAAUUUCUGAUUUUUUAACUUGUACAAUUUUAAAGUUCCGGGGGCAAUUUGGGUAUUCCGGCUGAGAUCUGAAAACCUAGAGGGAUUAAAAGAGGAUUGAGAGACAAGGAGAAGACACUUUUGAUCGUACGAUAGAAUUCUAGAAGAGGGCAAGAUAGCGUUAUCAAAGUUUUGGAAGACGAAGAGAUUCAACGGUGGACACCAUUGAAGAUCAGAGUUCUCCUAAUUUUUGUAAUGUCUAAACUCUUUAAUUUUGGUUUCUUGAAUAUUAUGAGAGGCUAAACCCCCCAAUGCCAGGGGGUGUCCCUGAUUAGAAUUGUAAUGACUAUGAUUUCCGUAUUUCUUUAAUCAAG